GCGUGUUUCGGGUCGUAGUUUGCUCUGGGAGCCGGCGAGGCUCUGGGGCGGGCCGUUGACCUGUUCUCGCUCUCAGCCCGAGCUCCUGGUUCGGUGCCGCGCGCCGGGCGUCAGUGUAGGACAGAUGCACAUAGGCCAAGGACAAAAGCACGUCUACUGGCAACCGCAGCACUGCAGAGAAGUGCGGCUAAAACAGCGCUGGGGGGGCUCUGCCCCUUCUGCUGGCGGCUCCGCGGCGGAGGGCCGGUGGCUGCGGAGACGCCGUCCUUACCCCACGACCGGGAAGCAGAUGCUACACCGCGCGGCAGCGUUGGUGCUGGUGAGGAGGAUCGCGUGCAUGCUGUUUUCUUUGCCCUCUUAAUUUUCUCAGUGAAACACAAAACACAGUAAGAAUAGCACCGAGGAGAAUUUUGGGGACACAGUGAACAUUCAUAAAUACAAAUGUUUUUGUUAAUCUAACAAAGGCCCGCGCUGUAUCACGUGCCACGAAGGAGCCGAGGUGCUGGACAGGGAGGUGCUGCCUGUUCUGUAGGCUGCUGCCCCUAAGCGAGCCGCCCUUGGGAGCUCUGUCCUGGCUCUGCUUCAGCACUGCUUGACCUCCCGUCUUCUCCGCAGGAUGGGCCCUGGAGCCUGCAGUGUCCCAAGUGGAGUGCUGCCUGCAUGUCACACGUGAAGCAUCUACAGAUACAUGAGCAGUAACUCUCUGACCAGGACGGAAUGACCUCUCCAUGGGCACCGGUGGACACGCCGGUGAUAGGAUCCCCACUUAAAUCUCCGUGGCCCUCCAGGGACCUCCUCAAAGACUGGAGAUGGCUCUGGACCCAGGAUUUUCUGGGCUACCUCACGCAAAUGGUGUUCUCACGUGUGCACAGCUCCGGAGUUCCGAUUUUCCAAAGGUGACCCAACCAUCACAUCAUGAAAGCCAUCCACCCUGACGGAUCAAAGAGUUGCAAACGCUGAAUGAAACCAAGCAUCUCUGACACCCUGGGGGCCUUCUGGAAAUCGGUGCCGGCUCCCAAGGCCCUUUGUGACAGGAAACAGGCAGACUCCUCCUCUUUCAGGUCGUUCACGUACACUGGCGCACCUGCCAACGCACACCUGUACUGAUGUCUUUAUCCACAGCGCCUGAACCCAGCACGCUACCCAAACAGGAGCUAAUCUGGUCGCCUCCGUGAGCCUGAAUGACUGCAGGUGGCCACUCUCGUUAGCACCCUUUGUCCGAGCAGCGCCAGCAGCAGGAGCUGAAGCCACAGAGUAACCCAAAGGGCGUGCUGUCUUCGGGCUUCCAGCAUGUUCCGGUGGGACUCUGACGUCGAGCCGUGCCGGUGAGAAGCUUCAGGUGCGGUCUAAUGGAAAGCGAGUCAGCUCAGUCCCCACCGUCAAGUUUACCUGGGGCUCCCGUGGGGACCUAGGCACCUCAAGUCCAAGGGGGACGCCCGGACCUCCUCGUUCGUGGGUGUUCCUCUCUUUCUACCGCAUGAGAGGCGCUUGGCUUUUAUUGUUUCUCUUCCUUUUUGGCCUCCCCACGGAGUUCCAGAGCCAGGCACUGAAUCUAAGCUGCAGCGGAGACCAACUCUGCACGUGCGGCAAUGAUGGCUCCGUGACCACUGUGCUGGGCCGGGGAUUGAACCUGCAUCCCUGCUGUUGCAGAGACACCAUGGCUCCCUUUGUGCCACAGCAGGAAUCUCCAUCGUCUUUUCUUCUUAAGUUUUAGCCCAGGGCCCUCUGCUGUCUGAGGCCCUUCCACCUUACGACCCUGGGCAACGAGCAUGCUGGUCCUUGUGGUCUGGUUGAGGAGCAGAAACGGCUGUGGUGGGAAGGGGAGCAGAGGCCAUGGAUGUCGGAGGGCCUGGACCAGCUGGAGAGUCCUGGCGGCUGGAGGUGCGGCCAGGAGGCCCGGGCCCUGCGGGUCCUGCUGGCGGGCGGAUCUCCCUCCCUCCUGAGCGGUAGGGCUGAGCGCUGGCUGGUGGCGAAACGUGCUCCCUGAGCCCAGAGUCCGCAUCUCCAAACGUUCCUCUUUGCUGAAUUUUGCUGCUCUGACAAAUGGCUCUGCAGCUCCAGGGGCACGAAGCAAAAGCUUAUCUCCUGCUCAGUCCCCGUGGCCCUCUUGCACUGGACGAGGGCCCGAGAAGCCUUGCUCAUCUCUUGUCUCAGGUGGGCUUCCUUAAAAGCCAUCCUUGUGCUAAAGCUUCACGUGCAGGCAGUUAACCUGAGACGAGGGCAGGAAGUGCUGGUAGGGGAGGUGAGAGAGGAGGGAAGGGGCCACGUGCGGCUGCUUAUUUGGGGCAUGGAACCUCUGUAGGCAACAGGCCCAAGCCCAUGGGGCCCUGGGAGAAGGGGUAGAACUGCCCCCCCACCAAGGGCAAAGGUGCCCGCUCAGGGGCAGGGAAGCAUAGAUGGUGCCAUCCAUCACAGGCCCCAAGCUGGCAGCUCCCAGCACUUUCACCUGCUGAGACACCCAGGCCCAGCACCCAGACACAGCUGGGCUCCUGGGAGGAAGCCCAAACCGGAGGGACGCUGAGUAGGGGCACCAACCCGUCCACCCCCCUGCAGAACCGGGGUCCUGCCUGUCUUAGCUCGGCUGCCCUAACAAGACACCACAGACUGGAGGCGUGGACAGCAGGGUGGCUUCAGCCUUGUCUCUCUUCUCUGACCCAGCUUCUGCGUGGUUUCCAGAGGCAUCUUUCUAAAAGGCAGAUCCGGGGAGUUCCCGUGGUGGCUCAGCAGGUUACAAACCCAACCAGGGUCCAUGAGGACACGGGUUCGAUCCCUGGCCUCACUCAGUGGGUUAAGGAUCCAGCGUUGCCGUGAGCUGUGGUGUAGCUUGCAGGCUUGCCUCAGAUCCAGCGUGGCUGUGGUUGAGGCGCAGGCCGGCAGCUGCAGCCCUGAAUCAACCCCUAGCCUGGGAACUUCCGCAGGGGAGGCCCUAAAAAGGAAAAAAGGUAGACCCUCUCUUGGCAACCAGCUGCAGCAACACUUCCUGGCCUCCUGAUUGCCCCAGGAGAAAAUGUUUCUGCUUUACACAGUUUCAGGGGCCGUGGGGUCUGCUCCUCAUUUUCCUGCGAGCGCCCCUCUUCCCUGCGUUACUCCUAAACACCAGGCCGACGACGGAAUGGAUCUUGGCGCAGGCCCCCGGUCGUGCUCUGCACUCCAUCUGAGCGCUGGUCUCCUCUCUCUGCUUCUCUCAGGGCCCAGCCGGCGCCUCCCCAGCCACCCCCAGCCCCCUAUCCUCGCCCAAGGCUGCAUCAUCGCCCUCCCUGCACGCCUCCAAUGGGUCCCGCACACCCUCGCCCUCCCCGGAGCUGCGGGGCAGCACCGCACGGGUCUCCAGAGCUGGGGGCCUGGGUUCACAUCUAGCUCGGCCGCAGUGCAGCCUGGAGGCAGGACAGGUUCUCAACAGGGCGGAGCUCCGCCUCCGCCUCCUUCAGGCCCCACCCCCAUGGGGACUUCUGGAGGAUCAAGUGAGACACUGAUGGCGGUCCCCGAGGUAGCUCCGUGAGUGUCAGCAGUGUGAGCAGGGCUGGCCCUGUGGGCGAGCAAAGGAGCUCACGGUCACUCUGCUCGCCGCAGUCCAUCCUUCAGCUGCACAGACACGGACUCCCUGGAGGCAGGGCUGUGAUCCAUCCAGCCCUUGGUGUGGCCAGGGCCAGGGCUUGGGAGAGUCAGAAGCCGUGCUGGCCGCUCGCCACCCAGCUGUGGGAGUGUGCAAUUCCCAUGUGAAUUCACCUGGGCGGUUUCCCAUGCUCCUCAGUUUUGAUGACUACUUCGUUUUGCCUAAAAGACUAGCAAUUAGUGAUUUAUGUGCAAAGCCUCUGCUGGGUCAAGGCCAGGCCGGCAACUGUCCCACUAAUCUUCCUGCUCCCUCCCCCUCUCCCCAUCUGCCCUCUCCAUCCCCCCUCCCCCUCUCCAUCUGCCCCCCUCCUCUCCCCUCUUCCCUCCCCCUCCCUCCCAUCCUUCCGUAUUUAUUCAAGUCCCUGGUUUGGGUGUUAGGUGCUCAGGUAGAUGAAUGAGCUACCUGCCUGCCCUUAUGUUAUGGCCUUAUGGGUUAUCCCAGUUCUCUCCAAAGCAGACACCAUGGGUGUGAAAGGAGCACAAAGGUCAAAGGUCGAGAGGGUGAGAGGCAGCCCUGGUGACCAGGGAAGGUCUGGCUCCUGGAAGUGGGAGGGGCAGGUGCUGAGACGGCCUUGGGCUCUGCCAAAUUCCUUCCUUUCCGGUUGGACCGUGGCUGAAAUCGUGGCAUCGCCCCUCCGCCAUUGCUGAUGCGAGCCUCCCAGGUCGGCUUCACGACCAAAUAAAACAGUGGCUGCGGAGGCUCUCUGGAAGCCACAAAGGCGCGACGUGACUUCCAUUUAUGGGCUUCUAACUUCCCAUGAAAAUGAAAUUUUCGUUUAAACAUUUUUUACAGUCGCAAAGUUAAAACACGUGUGCUGAAAAAGUUGAGCCCCGCACCAACAGUGAACAUGCUGGAAACAUCUAGAAAGGAGGAAGUCUGGGCACAGAGGUGGGGCUGGGCUGAGCGCUGUGUGUUGCUGGCACGUUACAGACGCUCUCUGAGCCUCAGCUUCGCCAGGUUUACACCCGGAUGACACUGCUCUCUGCCUAUUGUGCUGGGAUUCAACAGUCUUUCCCAGGCACAGCCUCAUCGCAAGCAGUGUUGGCUUCUUCCGCAACCUGGUUUCAAAGCCCCGAGAAGCAUUAACUGAGCACGCGUGAUUCCCAGCUUUGCAAAGGCCAAAAACAUCAGGACUCUUGUUACGAUGCCAAGAGCGAUUUUCAUGGCAAACAAGUGAUGCUCUGCUGCCCUGUUUUGUUUGCUCAGGCUACUUAAUGCCUCCUAUUCAAUGUGUUUCAAGUCCUGCUUUCCAGGUUUGAAAACAAUCUGUGGUCAAAUACAGAUCAUAUAAAA
RNAcentral lists this long non-coding RNA (4906 nucleotides) under Sus scrofa (pig). Its description in RNAcentral is "lncRNA (ENSSSCG00030071610.1)". The record is from RNAcentral. Lineage: Eukaryota; Metazoa; Chordata; Mammalia; Artiodactyla; Suidae.